This 73-nucleotide transfer RNA is filed under the name Sus scrofa (pig). It matches the Rfam family "tRNA". From Rfam's summary of the family: Transfer RNA (tRNA) molecules are approximately 80 nucleotides in length. The record is from Rfam by way of RNAcentral. Lineage: Eukaryota; Metazoa; Chordata; Mammalia; Artiodactyla; Suidae.
GGUUCUGUGGUGUAAUGGUUAGCACUCUGCACUUUGAAUCUGGCAAGUCUGGGUUCAAGUCUUGGCAGAGCCU